Molecule: ribosomal RNA, 450 nt
Filed under: Escherichia coli
Lineage: Bacteria; Pseudomonadati; Pseudomonadota; Gammaproteobacteria; Enterobacterales; Enterobacteriaceae
Description: bacterial SSU rRNA
Rfam family: Bacterial small subunit ribosomal RNA
Source: RNAcentral
UGGGUUAAGUCCCGCAACGAGCGCAACCCUUAUCCUUUGUUGCCAGCGGUCCGGCCGGGAACUCAAAGGAGACUGCCAGUGAUAAACUGGAGGAAGGUGGGGAUGACGUCAAGUCAUCAUGGCCCUUACGACCAGGGCUACACACGUGCUACAAUGGCGCAUACAAAGAGAAGCGACCUCGCGAGAGCAAGCGGACCUCAUAAAGUGCGUCGUAGUCCGGAUUGGAGUCUGCAACUCGACUCCAUGAAGUCGGAAUCGCUAGUAAUCGUGGAUCAGAAUGCCACGGUGAAUACGUUCCCGGGCCUUGUACACACCGCCCGUCACACCAUGGGAGUGGGUUGCAAAAGAAGUAGGUAGCUUAACCUUCGGGAGGGCGCUUACCACUUUGUGAUUCAUGACUGGGGUGAAGUCGUAACAAGGUAACCGUAGGGGAACCUGCGGUUGGAUCAC